GAUGGAAUAGUACAGUUGAGUCUCAAUAAUGGGAUUAUUGAGCUUUAGUUUGGAAUCCAAGGAUCAAACGAUGGUGGAGGGGUCCACUUUUGACCUUAUCUUCCUUGCUCUGUACCCUUAUUAUGCUUAUGUUAAUUAUUUCUUGUGAGGCUUUGGAUUGUGAUGUGACCAUCGCUGGAAAUCUUGAAUCUUCUUCCCUUGGCAUAUUACCAUCCAGGACCUGUCUAUGGUACAGAUUCUGUAACAAACAUUUCCCGUCAUCCCACCAUCCGAUUGUCUAUUGUUUAGUUUCUUACCCCACAUCCAACGGCUGAUGCUGCAGUCUGUAGCUUACAGAUUCUGUAAGCUAGUCAAAGUCCUACCAUCCAACCUUGGAUUUAUGGAUUAAUUUCGUUUGACUACCUAAAAGAAUAAUUUUUUUAUUCUUUUAGAUAUUAAUUUAUCUUAAUUUUUAUUAAGAAGAUAAAAAAAAUUCCAUUAAUUCAUCUUUAUUUCUUCCUCUUUUCUUUUCUUUAUUUUACUUUUAUUCGCAAAUUUUCUGAAACCUGAAUUCCAAAACUAGGAGGGGUCCACUUUUGACCUUAUCUUGCUUGCUCUGUACCCUUCUUAUGCUUAUGUUAAUUAUUUCUUGGGAGCUGGCUAAGUUACAGAUUCUGUAACAUACAGAUCCAACUUAGCCAGCUCCUGAUUGGUUAGCUAGCUACCAAACAAAAAC
RNAcentral lists this long non-coding RNA (715 nucleotides) under Citrus maxima (pomelo). RNAcentral's name for it is "long non-coding RNA (CMAX_LNC002020)". The record is from RNAcentral. Lineage: Eukaryota; Viridiplantae; Streptophyta; Magnoliopsida; Sapindales; Rutaceae.